GGGCGCGUAGCUCAGGUGGUUAGAGCGCGAAACUGAUAAUUUCGAGGUCGAUGGUUCGAGUCCAUCCGUGCCCACCA
This 77-nucleotide transfer RNA is filed under the name candidate division WWE3 bacterium. RNAcentral's name for it is "tRNA-Ile". It matches the Rfam family "tRNA". Rfam says of the family: Transfer RNA (tRNA) molecules are approximately 80 nucleotides in length. Their secondary structure includes four short double-helical elements and three loops (D, anti-codon, and T loops). Lineage: Bacteria; candidate division WWE3. The record is from RNAcentral.